UUAAAUUGAAGAGUUUGAUCAUGGCUCAGAUUGAACGCUGGCGGCAGGCCUAACACAUGCAAGUCGAACGGUAACAGAAAGAAGCUUGCUUCUUUGCUGACGAGUGGCGGACGGGUGAGUAAUGUCUGGGAAACUGCCUGAUGGAGGGGGAUAACUACUGGAAACGGUAGCUAAUACCGCAUAACGUCGCAAGACCAAAGAGGGGGACCUUCGGGCCUCUUGCCAUCGGAUGUGCCCAGAUGGGAUUAGCUAGGUAGGUGGGGUAACGGCUCACCUAGGCGACCGAUCCCUAGCUGGUCGUGAGACGGAUGACCAGCCACACUGGAACUG
RNAcentral lists this ribosomal RNA (330 nucleotides) under Escherichia sp. E2586. RNAcentral's name for it is "bacterial SSU rRNA". It matches the Rfam family "Bacterial small subunit ribosomal RNA", at positions 1 to 321 of the family's 1533-position model. The record is from RNAcentral. Lineage: Bacteria; Pseudomonadati; Pseudomonadota; Gammaproteobacteria; Enterobacterales; Enterobacteriaceae.